RNAcentral lists this ribosomal RNA (466 nucleotides) under uncultured bacterium. RNAcentral describes it as "partial 16S ribosomal RNA". It matches the Rfam family "Bacterial small subunit ribosomal RNA", at positions 28 to 507 of the family's 1533-position model. The record is from RNAcentral.
GAUGAACGUUGGCGGCGUGCUUAACACAUGCAAGUCGAACGGAAAGGCCCAAGCUUGCUUGGGUACUCGAGUGGCGAACGGGUGAGUAACACGUGGGUGAUCUGCCCUGCACUUCGGGAUAAGCCUGGGAAACUGGGUCUAAUACCGGAUAGGACCACAUUUUGGAUGGUGUGGUGGAAAGUUUUUCGGUGUGGGAUGAGCUCGCGGCCUAUCAGCUUGUUGGUGGGGUAAUGGCCUACCAAGGCGUCGACGGGUAGCCGGCCUGAGAGGGUGUACGGCCACAUUGGGACUGAGAUACGGCCCAGACUCCUACGGGAGGCAGCAGUGGGGAAUAUUGCACAAUGGGCGCAAGCCUGAUGCAGCGACGCCGCGUGGGGGAUGACGGCCUUCGGGUUGUAAACUCCUUUCGCUAGGGACGAAGCGUUAUGUGACGGUACCUGGAGAAGAAGCACCGGCUAACUACGUG